GGAGAGAUGGCGGAGUGGACGAACGCGCCGGAUUGCUAAUCCGGUGUACCCGGUUACGGGUACCGAGGGUUCGAAUCCCUCUCUCUCCG
Molecule: transfer RNA, 89 nt
Filed under: Planctomycetota bacterium
Lineage: Bacteria; Pseudomonadati; Planctomycetota
Description: Planctomycetes bacterium tRNA-Ser
Rfam family: tRNA
About the family: Transfer RNA (tRNA) molecules are approximately 80 nucleotides in length.
Source: RNAcentral